UGCAGAUGUGGUGGAAUCGGCAGACACGCAGGUUUAAGGAGCCUGUGCUUUAUAGGCGUACGGGUUCAAGUCCCGUCAUCUGCACCAA
This 88-nucleotide transfer RNA is filed under the name Clostridium butyricum 5521. RNAcentral's name for it is "tRNA-Leu". It matches the Rfam family "tRNA". From Rfam's summary of the family: Transfer RNA (tRNA) molecules are approximately 80 nucleotides in length. Their secondary structure includes four short double-helical elements and three loops (D, anti-codon, and T loops). RNAcentral also lists the same sequence under 1 other name. The record is from RNAcentral. Lineage: Bacteria; Bacillati; Bacillota; Clostridia; Eubacteriales; Clostridiaceae.